This 467-nucleotide long non-coding RNA is filed under the name Brassica napus (rape). RNAcentral describes it as "long non-coding RNA (BNAP_LNC024130)". The record is from RNAcentral. Lineage: Eukaryota; Viridiplantae; Streptophyta; Magnoliopsida; Brassicales; Brassicaceae.
GCGCUGAGUGGGAGGCAACCUACUAUUAGGUAAAAAAAAGAAUGAACAGUGUCGAACGACACUGUAGCGGAAUCGUUGAUCGAUAUUGUAGUUGUGUCACUGUUCAUCAAAAAAAGAAGAUUCGAGGAAGACGAGAUCUGCACCCAGCAUGGACCGACACCUAAUCAAUGUCGAUCGACAUAUCAUCACGAGUAAUGAUUGAUUGCCACUUAACUGUUUCGAUCGACGCUCACCAUCAGCGAGCAGAUAUACCGUUUUUCAUUGUUAAAUUUUGUCGUUAUGAUUUAUUUUCUCACUAAUCUUAUACUGUAUAACACUGGGGACAUUGUUGUUUAAGUCUGGGAGAGGUAUUACUGAUAUUGUGUUUUGUUUUGAGUUUUAUUUUAUGAGUUUUUAUUGAGUUUUAUAGAGUCGAGAAGGGAAUGAUGAACUUUUCCAAUUUUACUUACUAUCUAACCACUCUCUAA